This 497-nucleotide ribosomal RNA is filed under the name uncultured bacterium. Its description in RNAcentral is "partial 16S ribosomal RNA". It matches the Rfam family "Bacterial small subunit ribosomal RNA", at positions 28 to 507 of the family's 1533-position model. The record is from RNAcentral.
GAUGAACGCUGGCGGCGUGCCUAACACAUGCAAGUCGAGCGAACAGACGAUGAGCUUGUUCUCCUAACGUUAGCGGCGGACGGGUGUGUAACACAUGGAUCACCAACCUAUAUGACUGGGAUAACUUCGGGAGACCGGUGCUAAUACCGGAUAAUAUAUUGAACCGGAUGGAUCAAUAGUGAAAGACGGUUUUGCUGUCAGUAUUAGCCGCAUCCGCGCCGCAUUGGUUGGUUGGUAAGGUAACGGCCUACCAAGGCGACGAUGCGUAGCAGAGCUGAGAGGUGGAUCAGCCACACUGGAACUGAGACACGGUCCAGACUCCUACGGUAGGCAGCAGUAGGGAAUAUUAGGCAAUGGGCGAAAGCUUGACAGAGCAAUACCGCGUGGGUGAUGAAGGUCUUCGGAUUGUAAAGCUCUCUUGUUAGGGAAGAACAGCUGCAGAAUGAAACGCAGAUGUACUGACGGUACCGAAUAAAAAAGCAACGGCUAACUACGUG